UCCAGGCCCUACGGGGCGCAGCAGGCGCGAAACCUCCGCAAUGCGGGCAACCGCGACGGGGGGACCCCCAGUGCCGUGGCAUCGCCACGGCUUUUCCGGAGUGUAAAAAGCUCCGGGAAUAAGGGCUGGGCAAGGCCGGUGGCAGCCGCCGCGGUAAUACCGGCGGCCCGAGUGGUGGCCGCUAUUAUUGGGCCUAAAGCGUCCGUAGCCGGGCCCGUAAGUCCCUGGCGAAAUCCCACGGCUCAACCGUGGGGCUUGCUGGGGAUACUGCAGGCCUUGGGACCGGGAGAGGCGGGGGGUGCCCCUGGGGUAGGGGUGAAAUCCUAUAAUCCCAGGGGGACCGCCAGUGGCGAAGGCGCCCCGCUGGAACGGGUCCGACGGUGAGGGACGAAGGCCAGGGGAGCGAACCGGAUUAGAUACCCGGGUAGUCCUGGCUGUAAAGGAUGCGGGCUAGGUGUCGGGCGAGCUUCGAGCUCGCCCGGUGCCGAAGGGAAGCCGUUAAGCCCGCCGCCUGGGGAGUACGGCCGCAAGGCUGAAACUUAAAGGAAUUGGCGGGGGAGCACUACAAGGGGUGGAGCGUGCGGUUUAAUUAGAUUCAACGCCGGGAACCUCACCGGGGGCGACGGCAGGAUGAAGGCCAGGCUGAAGGUCUUGCCGGACACGCCGAGAGGAGGUGCAUGGCCGCCGUCAGCUCGUACCGUGAGGCGUCCACUUAAGUGUGGUAACGAGCGAGACCCGCGCCCCCAGUUGCCAGUCCUCCCCGCUGGGGAGGAGGCACUCUGGGGGGACCGCCGGCGAUAAGCCGGAGGAAGGAGCGGGCGACGGUAGGUCAGUAUGCCCCGAAACCCCCGGGCUACACGCGCGCUACAAUGGGCGGGACAAUGGGAUCCGACCCCGAAAGGGGAAGGGAAUCCCCUAAACCCGCCCCCAGUUCGGAUCGCGGGCUGUAACUCGCCCGCGUGAAGCUGGAAUCCCUAGUACCCGCGUGUCAUCAUCGCGCGGCGAAUACGUCCCUGCUCCUUGUACUCACCGCCCGUC
Molecule: ribosomal RNA, 1038 nt
Filed under: uncultured archaeon
Lineage: Archaea
Description: bacterial SSU rRNA
Rfam family: Archaeal small subunit ribosomal RNA
Source: RNAcentral